Molecule: ribosomal RNA, 1108 nt
Filed under: Acinetobacter baumannii
Lineage: Bacteria; Pseudomonadati; Pseudomonadota; Gammaproteobacteria; Moraxellales; Moraxellaceae
Description: bacterial SSU rRNA
Rfam family: Bacterial small subunit ribosomal RNA
Source: RNAcentral
AGCGGGGGAAGGUAGCUUGCUACCGGACCUAGCGGCGGACGGGUGAGUAAUGCUUAGGAAUCUGCCUAUUAGUGGGGGACAACAUCUCGAAAGGGAUGCUAAUACCGCAUACGUCCUACGGGAGAAAGCAGGGGAUCUUCGGACCUUGCGCUAAUAGAUGAGCCUAAGUCGGAUUAGCUAGUUGGUGGGGUAAAGGCCUACCAAGGCGACGAUCUGUAGCGGGUCUGAGAGGAUGAUCCGCCACACUGGGACUGAGACACGGCCCAGACUCCUACGGGAGGCAGCAGUGGGGAAUAUUGGACAAUGGGGGGAACCCUGAUCCAGCCAUGCCGCGUGUGUGAAGAAGGCCUUAUGGUUGUAAAGCACUUUAAGCGAGGAGGAGGCUACUUUAGUUAAUACCUAGAGAUAGUGGACGUUACUCGCAGAAUAAGCACCGGCUAACUCUGUGCCAGCAGCCGCGGUAAUACAGAGGGUGCGAGCGUUAAUCGGAUUUACUGGGCGUAAAGCGUGCGUAGGCGGCUUAUUAAGUCGGAUGUGAAAUCCCCGAGCUUAACUUGGGAAUUGCAUUCGAUACUGGUGAGCUAGAGUAUGGGAGAGGAUGGUAGAAUUCCAGGUGUAGCGGUGAAAUGCGUAGAGAUCUGGAGGAAUACCGAUGGCGAAGGCAGCCAUCUGGCCUAAUACUGACGCUGAGGUACGAAAGCAUGGGGAGCAAACAGGAUUAGAUACCCUGGUAGUCCAUGCCGUAAACGAUGUCUACUAGCCGUUGGGGCCUUUGAGGCGUUAGUGGCGCAGCUAACGCGAUAAGUAGCCGCCUGGGGAGUACGGUCGCAAGACUAAAACUCGGGUGAAUUUUCCAGGCGCGCGGGAGACCCGCUCCACCAUGUGGUUUUGUUUCUAUGUUUCGCCAAAGAAGCGUAACAGCCCCCUGUUGUACGAGAACCGUUUCCGUACAUUAAAUAAUGGGGUUCGCUCACCGAAAGGAAAGUUGCUUCCUAGUUGUUGGUAGACAAAAGGCCGCCCCCCGCCCGGGUGGGUGGGGGGUUACCAACAGCGGGGGGGGGGUUUUACUUUAUUGCCGGCGGCGGGGGUGGAUUUGGAACCGCCCCUU